UAUUAUUAAGUGUGUUAGCACAUAAAAAUUUGAUUUUUAAAGACUUUAAAUCAAUUAAAU
This 60-nucleotide transfer RNA is filed under the name Tetragnatha nitens. RNAcentral describes it as "tRNA-Gln". The record is from RNAcentral. Lineage: Eukaryota; Metazoa; Arthropoda; Arachnida; Araneae; Tetragnathidae.